CCUGAGAGGGUGAUCGGCCACAUUGGAACUGAGACACGGUCCAAACUCCUACGGGAGGCAGCAGUGGGGAAUUUUGCGCAAUGGGCGAAAGCCUGAUGCAGCAACGCCGCGUGAGUGAUGAAGUACUUCGGUAUGUAAAGCUCUGUCUUUGGGGACGAUAAUGACGGUACCCAAGGAGGAAGCCACGGCUAACUACGUGCCAGCAGCCGCGGUAAUACGUAGGUGGCGAGCGUUGUCCGGAAUUACUGGGCGUAAAGGAUGCGUAGGUGGACUUUUAAGUCAGAUGUGAAAUCCCCGGGCUUAACCUGGGGGCUGCAUUUGAAACUGGAGGUCUAGAGUGCAGGAGAGGUAAGUGGAAUUCCUAGUGUAGCGGUGAAAUGCGUAGAUAUUAGGAAGAACACCAGUGGCGAAGGCGACUUACUGGACUGUAACUGACACUGAGGCAUGAAAGCGUGGGGAGCAAACAGGAUUAGAUACCCUGGUAGUCCACGCUGUAAACGAUGGGUACUAGGUGUGGGAGGUAUCGACUCCUUCCGUGCCGCCGUUAACACAAUAAGUACCCCGCCUGGGGAGUACGGUCGCAAGAUUA
RNAcentral lists this ribosomal RNA (589 nucleotides) under uncultured bacterium. RNAcentral's name for it is "bacterial SSU rRNA". It matches the Rfam family "Bacterial small subunit ribosomal RNA", at positions 291 to 896 of the family's 1533-position model. The record is from RNAcentral.